This is a long non-coding RNA of Chiroxiphia lanceolata (lance-tailed manakin), 2279 nucleotides long. RefSeq lists it as uncharacterized. NCBI's taxonomy places the organism in Eukaryota, Metazoa, Chordata, Aves, Passeriformes, Pipridae. The record is from RefSeq and is a predicted model, not a curated record. The transcript has 4 exons.
AGCUAGAGGAUAAGGGCUUUAAUCUACAGUGGGGAUGGAAAAAGACAAUUUUUGUCAGACAUGUCCUUGUGCCUUUUUUUAUUUUUCUGUCAGGCUUUUCACAUUUGGCAUACACAUGUUCUUGAUUUUACCACAGAGGCUUAGGAUCGCUUAUCACUCUAAUAUCCACAGCUGGUAUCAGAGGACAAAUUUCAGGCAGUUCUAUAGAAGUUCAGUGUGUGGGCAGGAGCUUCUGACUAAUUAAAGAGGAAUGCUAAUAAUCGUUGGCAUUUAGCUGUCCACUUAGCGUAGGCAGUAAAUGAAUGGAGCACAGAAGCAGACUUUUAAUUUUUUUACUUUGCUUUGUGACUGCAUAAUCCCUUUAAUCCUUCACUAUCAGAGGUUUUUAUUAAUUAAAUGGAAUCUCUGCAGGCUCAGUGAUUCACAUUUCAGGGCAAAUACGUGUAUUUAACAGGGAAAGUUGGCAUAGGUCUUAGUGUGUAGGUUUAAAGCAGUUCUUUCAAGGUUAUUUUGGAAAUGAGUGAAAUGAAUGUGUGUUUCUUGGCAGUCAGCCACAUAGAAUCUUCCCUUUGCUGAUUAAGAGCUGAAUUCCAGCUUAUCAGAGAAUUCCCAGUGCAAGCAUUAACUGAUUUCUCUGUGGUGAUUGACUGAUUUUGACUGGAGGGAAAGCUGUCCCUGGGAAUGAGAGUGACCAACAGGAGCAGGAAUUAACAAAAGUGAAGGAAGUAGAUAUCAGAUCUUUGUCUUCUGAUUUGGCAAGUUGAAUGUUUCUGCUACGCUGAAACUAAGUAAUGGGAGCAAAAUCCUCUUUCCUCCAAGAAGUCCUGAGGCAUAUUUAUAAGAAAGUUCUGAAGAGCGGUCUGUAUUUAGUUGGAUACUCUUAUUCCUUUGCUUUGUAUGUGUCUUUUACGAGUAAGGCUUGUAACAGACAGUACCAACUGGUUACUUCUGAGCAGAGUCUGCAGAAGAGUCUUGGAAAAUAAGAAAAAUCUACCUGUGCUUGUCACAGUGGGAUUAGAACCUGUAUCACACGGAAAAGAUAUAUAUCUGGUGUCUUUAGGAAUGACUGGAAGAAGGUGCAGAAAGUUAUAUAAGGUCGGCUAAUUAGUACUGCCACGGCACAGUAAAUCUGUUUCCUGUUCUGUAAUUCCCUGAGGCAUAUUUAAGCGUUCUUGAAAAGUACAUAAUGCUACAUGUUACAGCUUCACUAUUCCAUGUGAGAAGUAUUGCGAUCAUAGCCUGCCCUACUGAUGAGGGCACAGUGAGAUGAAAGGACAAAAGAAUAUGUUACUGCCAUAUCCACUGGAUUGCCUGUUCAGGUUCCUAUACCCUUUAACUCUCAUGUGAAAGAAUAGCAGCUUCCUUUUCUCUUACUAGAACUUCUAAGUUUGAGGGAACCCUUAAGCAUUUCCUGUGCUUACACCUCUACUUCUCUAAGGUAAUACGCUUAGUGAGGUGUACCACAGCAAGUCAAAAUGCUGUAUUAUUAAGGAUGCCUCCAAAGCUGAUAAUCUAAAUGGGGAGUGUGGGGCUUUUGGAUCUCUUUACCAUUCUGAUGAGAUUGUUGCUUGAUAAGACAAGUGUGGUGCUGAGCUGCAAUGUUGCAGCUCCUCUGAAGUCAAGAAUUUUUUUUCCCACCCUCCUUUCAUAUACCUGUUCACUGUAUUUUCCAUUCUAGUAUAAGAAAAAUAUAUUAUGCUUUAGAUACUUCAGUAAAUUUUGCUUUAGGCAUGUAUGUACAUUUACUUUCUAUUUCAAAGUUUCUCUAAAAUUUGUAUGAAGGUGCACUGAGUAAAGUAGUGUGAUACCUUGUUUUUGUCUUUUUGCCUGCUUACAGGCUUGUAUAGUGUUCUCUUCAGGUUAAAUGGUUUAUACUUGUUCUAAAUGCAAAGUAUCAAAAUAUCAAUGUUGUGAAUACUAGAAGGAUUUAUUUAAAUGUAAAUGUUUCUCAGGUCUGUAGUGUUGUAACUAAAGGCAAAUUGUCUCUUUCACCUCUCCACUCACAUUCCUCUUUUUUCCAGAAUUGCGUUUGUUCUAAACCUGCUGAAAUUCUUGCAUGCAGGAGAAAGUUCCAGGGGUAGAAGGAUCCUCAGCCAUGUGUUCCUGAUGCACAGCUAAGACAAAACCUGUGGAACAGAGAACCUUCUCUUACAGUCUCUGAAGAAAGCACUGUAUCAGGGAAGGCUUUUUCAUUGCUGAGAGAGGGACUGAGGAAAGCGGCAGCUGCAGGUGUCAUCUUCCUGAAUUGACUGUUCAAGUGUGAUAUGCACUGAAGAAAA